GGGUGGGGAUUAGUGGCGAACGGGUGAGUAACACGUGGGCAAUCUGCCCUGCACUCUGGGACAAGCCCUGGAAACGGGGUCUAAUACCGGAUACUGACCUGCCAAGGCAUCUUGGCGGGUCGAAAGCUCCGGCGGUGCAGGAUGAGCCCGCGGCCUAUCAGCUUGUUGGUGAGGUAAUGGCUCACCAAGGCGACGACGGGUAGCCGGCCUGAGAGGGCGACCGGCCACACUGGGACUGAGACACGGCCCAGACUCCUACGGGAGGCAGCAGUGGGGAAUAUUGCACAAUGGGCGCAAGCCUGAUGCAGCGACGCCGCGUGAGGGAUGACGGCCUUCGGGUUGUAAACCUCUUUCAGCAGGGAAGAAGCGAAAGUGACGGUACCUGCAGAAGAAGCGCCGGCUAACUACGUGCCAGCAGCCGCGGUAAUACGUAGGGCGCAAGCGUUGUCCGGAAUUAUUGGGCGUAAAGAGCUCGUAGGCGGCUUGUCGCGUCGGUUGUGAAAGCCCGGGGCUUAACCCCGGGUCUGCAGUCGAUACGGGCAGGCUAGAGUUCGGUAGGGGAGAUCGGAAUUCCUGGUGUAGCGGUGAAAUGCGCAGAUAUCAGGAGGAACACCGGUGGCGAAGGCGGAUCUCUGGGCCGAUACUGACGCUGAGGAGCGAAAGCGUGGGGAGCGAACAGGAUUAGAUACCCUGGUAGUCCACGCCGUAACGGUGGGCACUAGGUGUGGGCAACAUUCCACGUUGUCCGUGCCGCAGCUAACGCAUUAAGU
Molecule: ribosomal RNA, 770 nt
Filed under: Streptomyces fragilis
Lineage: Bacteria; Bacillati; Actinomycetota; Actinomycetes; Kitasatosporales; Streptomycetaceae
Description: bacterial SSU rRNA
Rfam family: Bacterial small subunit ribosomal RNA
Source: RNAcentral